Molecule: transfer RNA, 74 nt
Filed under: Candidatus Caldipriscus sp.
Lineage: Bacteria; Candidatus Caldipriscota
Description: tRNA-Val
Rfam family: tRNA
About the family: Transfer RNA (tRNA) molecules are approximately 80 nucleotides in length. Their secondary structure includes four short double-helical elements and three loops (D, anti-codon, and T loops). Further hydrogen bonds mediate the characteristic L-shaped molecular structure. tRNAs have two regions of fundamental functional importance: the anti-codon, which is responsible for specific mRNA codon recognition, and the 3' end, to which the tRNAs corresponding amino acid is attached (by aminoacyl-tRNA synthetases). tRNAs cope with the degeneracy of the genetic code in two manners: having more than one tRNA (with a specific anti-codon) for a particular amino acid; and 'wobble' base-pairing, i.e. permitting non-standard base-pairing at the 3rd anti-codon position.
Source: RNAcentral
GGGCGCGUAGCUCAGGCGGUUAGAGCGCUCGUUUGACAUGCGAGAGGUCGGAGGUUCGACUCCUCCCGCGCCCA